GGUGGUGUGGCCUAGUCGGUAAAGCGUUUGAUCUCCGACAAGAAGGUCGCGGGUUCGAAUCCUGCUCUUUCAUAUCUUCA
This 80-nucleotide transfer RNA is filed under the name Pleuronectes platessa (European plaice). Its description in RNAcentral is "tRNA-Gly". Lineage: Eukaryota; Metazoa; Chordata; Actinopteri; Pleuronectiformes; Pleuronectidae. The record is from RNAcentral.